Mytilus californianus (California mussel) is the source of this 7616-nucleotide long non-coding RNA. RefSeq lists it as uncharacterized. The record is from RefSeq and is a predicted model, not a curated record. The transcript is spliced from 3 exons. NCBI's taxonomy places the organism in Eukaryota, Metazoa, Mollusca, Bivalvia, Mytilida, Mytilidae.
AUUCUUCAAAUAUUUUUUUUUUUUCAAAUUUCAAAUAUUGAAAAAUUUCAAGAAGUAAUCUUUAAUUGGACAGUAUGGCGCAUUAGAUUUGUAAAAUCUUUGAUCACAUUUAUUUAUUUGUUAUGCUGAAUCUAACCGUGUAUUUAGAUUUUUACUUUUGGGUCCAGUUUUCAAAUUGGUCUACAUUAAGGUCCAAAGGGUCCAAAAUUAAACUUUGUUUGAUUUUAACAAAAAUUGAAUAUAUGGGGUUCUUUGAUAUGCUGAAUCUAAACCAUGUAUUUAGAUUUUUGAUUUUUGGGCCCCGUUAUCAACUUUGUCCACAUUGAGGUCAAAAGGGUCCAAAAUUAAACUUAGUUUGAUUUUAACAAAAAUUGAAUUCUUGGGGUUCUUUGAUAUGCUGAAUCUAAACAUGUGUUUAGAUUUUUGAUAAUGGGCCCAGUUUUCAAGUUGGUCCAAGUUGGGGUCCAAAAUUAAACUUUGUUUGAUUUCAACAAAAAUUGAAUAUAUGGGGUUCUUUGAUAUGCUGAAUCUAAACAUGUAUUUAGAUUUUAGAUUUUUGGCCCAGUUUUCAAGUUGGUCCAAAUUGGGGUCCAAAAUUAAACUUUGUUUGAUUUCAACAAAAAUUGAAUAUAUGGGGUUCUUUGAUAUGCUGAAUCUUACCAUGUAUUUAGAUUUUUUAUUUGUGGGCCCGCUAUCAAAUUGGUUCAUAUUGAGGUCAAAAGGGUCCAAAAUUUAACUUUGUUUGAUUUCAUCAAAAAUUGAAUUCUUGGGGUUCUUUGAUAUGCUGAAUCUAACCAUGUAUUUAGAUUUUUGAUUUUUGGGCCCCGUUAUCAACUUUGUCCACAUUGAGGUCAAAAGGGUCCAAAAUUAAACUUAGUUUGAUUUCAACAAAAAUUGAAUAUAUGGGGUUCUUUAAUAUGCUGAAUCUUACCAUGUAUUUAGAUUUUUUAUUUGUGGGCCCGCUAUCAAAUUGGUUCAUAUUGAGGUCAAAAGGGUCCAAAAUUAAACUUUGUUUGAUUUCAUCAAAAAUUGAAUAUAUGGGGUUCUUUGAUAUGCUGAAUCUAACCAUGUAUUUAGAUUUUUGAUUUUUGGGCCCCGUUAUCAACUUUGUUCACAUUGAGGUCAAAAGGGUCCAAAAUUAAACUUAGUUUGAUUUUAACAAAAAUUGAAUUCUUGGGGUUCUUUGAUAUGCUGAAUCUAAAAAUGUAUUUAGAUUUUUGAUUUUUGGCCCAGUUUUCAAGUUGGUCCAAAUUGGGGUCCAAAAUUAAACUUUGUUUGAUUUCAACAAAAAUUGAAUAUAUGGGGUUCUUUGAUAUGCUGAAUCUAACCAUGUAUUUAGAUUUUUUAUUUGUGGACCCCACUAUCAAAUUGGUUCAUAUUGAGGUCAAAAGGGUCCAAAAUUAAACUUUGUUUGAUUUCAUCAAAAAUUGAAUUAUUGGGGUUCUUUGAUAUGCCAAAUCUAACCAUGUAUUUAGAUUUUUAAUUUUGGGUCCUGUUUUUAUACGACCGCAAAAAAAUUUUUGUGGUCGUAUAUUGGUAUGACGUUGGCGUCGUCGUCGUCGUCGUCGUCCGAAUACACAUUAGUUUUCGCACUCUAACUUUAGUUUAAGUGAAUGGAUCUCAUUGAAAUUUUACCAUAAGGUUCAAUACCACAAAAGGAAGGUGGGGAUUGAUUUUGGGGGUUAUGGUACUAACAGUUAAGGAAUUAGGGGCCAAAAGGGGCCAAAAAUAAGCAUUUUUGUAACUUCCACACAUAACUUGUGUGUAAGUGUAUGGAUCUCUCUGACAUUGUACCACAAGGUUCCAUAUCACAAAGGGAAUGCUGGGAUUGAUUUUGGGGGUAAUUGUCUCCAAAUUUUAGGAAUUAGGGGCCAAAAAGGGGCAAAAAACAAGCAUUUUUCUAGUUUCAUGACAAUAACUUGUUUGUAAGUGUAUGGAUCUUUAUGAAAUUGUACUACAAGGUUCCAUAUCACAAAGGGAAUACUGGGAUUGAUUUUCGGGGUAAUUUCCUCCAAAUAUUAGGAAUUAGGGGCCAAAAAGGGGCAAAAAACAAGCAUUUUUCUAGUUUCAUGACAAUAACUUGUUUGUAAGUGUAUGGAUCUUUAUGAAAUUGUACUACAAGGUUCCAUAUCACAAAGGGAAGGCUGGGAUUGAUUUUGGGGGUUUUCCCUCAAAAUUUUAGUAAUUAGGGGCCAUAAAAGGGCAAAAAAAACAUGCAUUUUUCUAGUUUCAGGACAAUAACUUGUGUGUAAGUGUAUGGAUCUUUAUGAAAUUGUACUGCAAGGUGUCCAUAUCACAAAGGGAAAGCUGGAAUUGAGUUUGGGGGUAAUUGCCCUAAACGUUUAGGAAUUUGGGGCCAAAAAGGGGCCAAAAAACAAGCAUUUUUCUAGUUUCCAGACAAUAACUUGUGUUCAAGUGUAUGAAUCUCUCUGAAAUUGUACUGCAAGGUACCAUACCACAAAGGGAAAGCUGGGAUUGAGUUUGGGGGCGAUGAAUCAUAAGGGGGUUCAAAAAAUUGGGGGGGGGGGAUUUUUUUUUUCCUUUUUUUUCUUUAACAUUUUCCAUUUUAAAUUGGUUAUUUCUGAUUUAUAUAUAAAAGCAAAUAAUAAUGAUAUGGUUUGAAUAGGCAUACAUGUGAACCUCCCGACGGGAGUACAAUAAUCCCGUUUUCAGGGGUCUCCUCCCCCCCUCCCGUUGAAAAAAUCCCGUGUAUGAAAUUUUUCAUGAAUGAAAAAUUUCUGCCCAACAUAACAUCUCAGGCAUCUGGUGUAACUGACAUUACCUGAAGUUAUAUUUUACCUGUAAAUCAAUUAACAUGCAUAAUUAUAUGGCUUCACUUGUCAGCUUGGGUGUCAAACAUACUGGUAAGCAACGAUUUUUACCUCAGGCUAACUGCCGUUGUGUAACAAAAACUGUGUAUUUAUUGGGUUACUUCCCUUGAUUUAUCCUGUUUUAAGUUACUUUCCUUUUAAUAAUGAAAAUUUUUAAAAGAAUAUAAAUAAAAUAUAAAUUGAACAAAUAAUCAUAAAAGGAUGGUUAUUAAAUGAUUUUAAAUGUCUUAGGACAAAUAAAAAAAUAAUAAUUUGAAAAUUAUUUGAGGAUUCUAUACUUCCUUUUAAGGCUUAAAUUGAAAUUUAUAUAAUAACUAUGACCCUAACUUUACAGAUAGAAUGAAUUUCUGAGUUUGCAAAUAAAAACUAUUUGCAAGAGAAAAAAAAAAAAAAAUAAAAACUAUUUGCAGACAGCUAAACAAAUGUUCUGGUUGCAAUGAUUGUUUUAUAGAAUAUGAAGUAAAAAAUUUAAAGAACAUACUGGAAAAAAACAAUGUUAGAUUGAACAUGUAGAAUAUAAAGAUGGAGAAACUUUAUAAGUACAAGGGUACUAUAAACAUAAUAAAUUGGUUGGAAAGUUGAAGUAAAAAAAACUUUAAAAGACCAUUUUUACAGCACACGGUUACAUUUACAACAAAAUUAAUGUCGAUUAAAAACCUCCUGAUCUGAGUCCUAAUCUCCUGACCAAAAUUUCCCAAUCUCCUGAUCUGAGUUUCACAGUCCAUCACAUGUAUGAAUAGGUAAAUUGAAAAUUUUUAAGUUCUUAGACCACUUUCAUUCUGUGUCAGAAACCUAUGCUGUGUCAAAUAUUUAAUUACAAUCCAAAUUCAGUGCUGUAUCAAGCUUGAAUGUUGUGUCCAUACUUGCCCCAACUGUUCAGGGUUCGACCUCUGCGGUCGUAUCAAGCUGCGCCCCAGCGGAGCAUUUUAUUUAAAUUGGUCUACAUUAAGGUCCAAAGGGUCCAAAAUUAAACUUAGUUUGAUUUUAACAAAAAUUGAAUUCUUGGGGUUCUUUGAUAUGCGGAAUCUAAACAUGUGUUUAGAUUUUUGAUUCUGGGCCCAGAUUUCAAGUUGGUCCAAGUUGGGGUCCAAAAUUAAACUUUGUUUGAUUUCAACAAAAAUUGAAUAUAUGGGGUUCUUUGAUAUGCUGAAUCUUACCAUGUAUUUAGAUUUUUUAUUUGUGGGCCAGCUAUCAAAUUGGUUCAUAUUGAGGUCAAAAGGGUCCAAAAUUAAACUUUUUUUGUUUGAUUUCAUCAAAAAUUGAAUUAUUGGGGUUCUUUGAUAUGCCAAAUCUAACCAUGUAUUUAAAUUUUUAAUUUUGGGUCCCGUUUUUUAAACUGGUCUACAUUAAGGUCCAAAGGGUCCAAAAUUAAACUUAGUUUGAUUUUAACAAAAAUUGAAUUUUUGGGGUUCUUUGAUAUGCUGAAUCUAAACAUGUGUUUAGAUUUUUGAUUAUGGGCCCAGUUUUCAAGUUGGUCCAAGUUGGGGUCCAAAAUUAAACUUUGUUUGAUUUCAACAAAAAUUGAAUAUAUGGGGUUCUUUGAUAUGCUGAAUCUAAACAUGUAUUUAGAUUUUAGAUUUUUGGCCCAGUUUUCAAGUUGGUCCAAAUUGGGGUCCAAAAUUAAACUUUGUUUGAUUUCAACAAAAAUUGAAUAUAUGGGGUUCUUUGAUAUGCUGAAUCUUACCAUGUAUUUAGAUUUUUAUUUGUGGGCCCGCUAUCAAAUUGGUUCAUAUUGAGGUCAAAAGGGUCCAAAAUUAAACUUUGUUUGAUUUCAUCAAAAAUUGAUCUAACCGUGUUUUUAGAUUUUUAAUUUUGGGUCCCGAUUUUUAAAUUGGUUUACAUUAAGGUCCAAAGGGUCCAAAAUUAAACUUAGUUUGAUUUUAACAAAAAUUGAAUUCUUGGGGUACUUUGAUAUGCUGAAUCUAAACAUGUGUUUAGAUUUUUGAUUAUGGGACCAGUUUUCAAGUUGGUCCAAGUUGGGGUCCAAAAUUAAACUUUUGUUUGAUUUCAACAAAAAUUGAAUAUAUGGGGUUGUUUGAUAUGCUGAAUCUAACCAUGUAUUUUGAUUUUGGACAUUGGACCAUAAUAGGUAAAUUAAAAAAAUUGAAGUUCUUAGACCACAUUCUUUCUGUGUCAGAAACCUAUGCUGUGUCAAAUAUUUAAUCACAAUCCAAAUUCAGAGCUGUAUCAAGCUUGAAUGUUGUGUCCAUACUUGCCCCAACUGUUCAGGGUUCGACCUCUGCGGUCGUAUCAAGCUGCGCCCAGCGAAGCAUUUUAUUGUAACUUCAAUAAUAACUUGUGUGUUAGUGUAUGGAUCUCUCUGACAUUGUACCACAAGGUUCCAUAUCACAAAGGGAAAGCUGGAAUUGAGUUUGAGGGUAAUUGCCCAAAAUGUUUAGGAAUUUGGGGCCAAAAAGGGGCAAAAAAACAAGCAUUUUUCUAGUUUCCAGACAAUAACUUGUGUUCAAGUGUACGGAUCUCUCUGAAAUUGUACUGCAAGGCACCAUACAUUGUAACACAAAGGGAAGGCUGGGAUUGAGUUUGGGGGUGAUGAAUCAUAAGGGGGUUCAAAAAAUUUGAGGGGGGAUUUUUUUCCCCUUUUUUUCUUUAAAAUUUUCCAUUUUAAAUUGGUUAUUUCUGAUUUAUAUAUAAAAGCAAAUAAUAAUGAUAUGGUUUGAAUAGGUAAAUUAAAAAAAUUUAAGUUCUUAGACCAUAUUCAUUCUGUGUCAGAAACCUAUGCUGUGUCAAAUAUUUAAUCACAAUCCAAAUUCAGUGCUGUAUCAAGCUUGAAUGUUGUGUCCAUACUUGCCCCAACUGUUCAGGGUUCGACCUCUUUGGUCGUAUCAAGCUGCGCCCAGCAAAGCAUUUUAUAUGAUAUGCAAGCGGGGGCAUCAUCUGUGUCCCAUGGACACAUUCCCCAUUUAUUUUUAUACGACCGCAAAAAAAAUUUUGUGGUCGUAUAUUGGUAUGACCUUGGCGUCGUCGUCGUCUGGCGUCGUCCGAAGACACAUUGGUUUUCGCACUCUAACUUUAGUUUAAGUGAAUGGAUCUCUAUGAAAUUUUACCACAAGGUUCAAUACCACAAAAGGAAGGUUGGGAUUGAUUUUGGGGGUUAUGGUACCAACAGUAAAGGAAUUAGGGGCCAAAAAGGGGCCAAAAAUAAGCAUUUUUGUAACUUCCAGACAUAACUUGUGUGUUAGUGUAUGGAUAUCUCUGACAUUGUACCACAAAGUUCCAUAUCACAAAAGGAAUGCUGGGAUUGAUUUUGGGGGUAAUUGUCUCAAAAUUUUAGGAAUUAGGGGCCAAAAAAGGGGCAAAAAAGAAGCAUUUUUCUAGUUUCAUGACAAUAACUUGUGUGUAAGUGUAUGGAUGUUUCUGAAAUUGUACUACAAGGUUCCAUAUCACAAAGGGAAAGCUGGGUUUGAGUUUGGGGGUAAUUGCCGAAACAUUUAGGAAUUUGGGGCCAAAAAUAAGCAUUUUUCUAGUUUCCAGACAAUAACUUGUGUUCAAGUGUAUGCAUCUCUCUGAAAUUGUACUGCAAGGUACCAUACCACAAAGGGAAGGCUGGGAUUGAGUUUGGGGGUGAUGAAUCAUAAGGGGGUUCAAAAAAUUUGGGGGGGGAUUUUUUUUUUUCUUUUAAAAUUUUCCAUUUUAAGUUGGUUAUUUCUGAUUUAUAUUUAAAAGCAAAUAAUAAUGAUAUGGUAGGAGAUACACACCAAACAGGAUGUGUAAAUUAUUAUAUAAUAAGUAUUGUGCAAUAGCAAGAAAUUUUCAAUUGCACAGUAUUGCACAAUAGCAAGAAAUCUUCAAUUGCACAGUAUUGCACAAUAGCAAGAAAUCUUCAAUUGCACAGUAUUGCGCAAUAGCAAGAAAUAUCCAAUAGCACAAUAUUGCGCAAUAGCAAGAAAUUGUCAAUUGUACAGUAUUGCGCAAUAGCAAGAAAUAUUUAAUUGCACAGUAUUGUGCAAAAGAAGAUACUUCGUAUAAAUUGCUUAUUUCUUGACCAAUUUCAAUGGGGUUUUAUUCUUGAAUUCUUGGGGUUCUUUAAUAUGCUGAAUCUAACCGUGUAUUUAGUUUUUGGAUUUUGGGCCCCGUUUUUAAAUUGGUCCACAUUGAGGUCCAAAGGGUCCAAAAUUAAACUUUGUUUGAUUUCAUCAAAAAUUGAAUUAUUGGGGUUCUUUGAUAUGCCGAAUCUAACCGUGUAUUUAGAUUCUUAAUUUUUGGUUCCGUUUUCAAAUUGGUCUACAUUAAGGUCCAAAGGGUUUAAAAUUAAACUUAGUUUGAUUUUAACAAAAAUUGAAUUCUUAGGGUUCUUUGAUAUGCUGAAUCUAAACAUGUAUUUAGAUUUUUGAUUAUGGGCCCAGUUUUCAAGUUGGUCCAAAUCGGGGUCCAAAAUUAAACUUUGUUUGAUUUAAACAAAAAUUGAAUAUAUAGGGGUUCUUUGAUAUGCUGAAUCUAGCCAUGUAUUUUGAUUUUUGGGCCCCGUUAUCAACUUUGUCCACAUUGAGGUCAAAAGGGUCCAAAUUAAACUUUGUUUGAUUUCAUAAAAAAUUGAAUUCUUGGGGUUCUUUGAUAUGCUGAAUCUAACCAUGUAUUUAGAUUUUGGAUAUUGGACCAUAAUAGGUGAAUGUCCAAUUUAAAAUUUUUAAGUUCUUAGACCACAUUCAUUCUGUGUCAGAAACCUAUGCUGUGUCAAAUAUUUAAUCACAAUCCAAAUGCAAAGCUGUAUCAAGCUUGAAUGUUGUGUCCAUACUUGCCCCAACUGUUCAGGGUUCGACCUCUGCG